UGGUCCAAUCGGAGCCAACCCAGGGACAUUUUCCUGGAGCGGCUGGGAAAGAGGAGUCUCUCGAAAUUCAGCAACUGCUAACAGCGAGGAGGGGGUGCUAGCCAGGAUCACUCCCUCCGAAGUCACACCAGAGGGAGGGCUGGAGGGAGAAUCAAAUGAAAGAGAGAGGGAGAGAAAGGAAGGAAGAGAAGGAGGGAGAAUGGAAGGAUGUAUGGAUUUGGAUGUAUGGGUUCCAUUCCUUCUACCCUGGCAAAAGCUUACUCAUCCUUCAGUGUCCAUCCAAAAUGGCAUCUCUUCUUGGGCACCAUCUCCAGAGUCUCCUGCAAGCAGGUAGCUACAUCCCACAAAACAACCACCCAUCUGACCAUGCAAGUGUGUGGGGGAAUGAAGACCAGCCCAGGAAUCUGAGAUGAAUGUUUUGCUUCUUGCUCUGCCACUGACUCACAGGGUACCCCAAGCAAGUCCCUUCACCUCCUCGGUCUCAGUUUCUCCAUUUAUACUACUAAGGCAGUGGACAUGAUGGCCUCAAGUCUCAACAUUUUUAUUCCCUGAAAAGAAACUCUUGGUGCUGAGUGGUCUUCUUCUGCCCUGACAUCUCACCUUUCAAACGCUUGUCUCUUCUCACCCCACCCACCACUUAGCAUGUGCUCUUGGAGAACACCCAGGACUCAGGGUCUCUGCACACAUCAUGAGUCCAGCUCAGCAUUUGAGGUGGAAUCAGAGGAAAGGAAGGAGAGUGGGGAGAAUAGUCAGUAUUUUGGCAAGCUCAUCAUACCUUCCCCCUUUGUAUAGAAACUUCAAACCAUUUCCCUUUGAAGGCACUACCUCCUUCCCCCAGUUAUAAAUGAGUGAAGGUCUCAAGCCUGGACAACCAAAUGCACAGUGAUUGGUUCAACUCUGGACCUGUGACUCAAGCCAGACCAAGGGAGUGACAUGCAGGGCUUUGCCUGGAACUAUUCUGAAAGGGGCACUCUCUUUCUGCUGGGCUACUGAUAAUAUGUGCAUCCGUGAUAGAAGAGCCUGCCUGAUAAUAAAGCCAAUAAGGGAAGAGCAGAGCCAAGAGAUGGUGGGAGAGCAGAUGCCUGAAAAUAUCAUUUGAGCCCCUGGGUCCAGCUGCACCUGAAGCCACCACGAUCUCCUGGACUUUGCAGUUACUUGAGUUCAUAAAUACCCUUUGGCAUUAAGCCAGAUUGAGUCUUAAUGCAUAUAGAAAUAAGAGAAAUGAGAAAAGAAAUUGAAAAGAGAGACAGCAGAGAACUGAUUCUCUACUAGAGCCUCCAGAAGGAAUCAACUCUGCCAACACCUUGAUUUUGGACUUGUGGCCUUCAGAACAGUGAAAUGAUAAACAUCUGUUAUUUUAAGGUACCUAGUGUGUAACAUUCCGUCAUGACAGCCCUAGGAAAUGAAUACAGCGAGGAAAAUCCUACCAGCACAAAGGCAUGGAGGUGCCAGGAUGUCUCCUCUGCGUGAAGAGUAGAUGUAGAUGAGGCUGGAAUUAUCUAUCCUAGCUGCCCAGACCCAUGUGCCUUUGUUUUAUGUAGUUACAGCACCUAUGAUACAUAUUUGUUACCAUGUAUGUCACUAUGAACCUCCUCUGGAGGACGGAGAAGUCAAAUACCUUAAUUAUUCCAACACAAGCUUGCGUGAACAGAUAAUCAUCACUACGAGUAUAUUGUGUGCCUGCUAAGCACCACACCUGAGAUAAGCAUUUGCUGUGGUUUGAAUGUCCCCUCCAAAGCUCAUGCUAAAAUUUAAUUGCCAUUGCAACAGUGUUGCAAGGUGAGAACUUUAAGAGAUGAUCAGGUCAUGAGAACUCUGCCCUCGUGAAUGGAUUAAUACCCUUAUCGCAGUAGUGGACCCCCCUUUUCUCUUGCUGUCUGUCUCUCAUGUUAGCUUGUGCUUCCUCCUUUCACCAUGGGAUAACACAGCAAGAAGCCCCUCACCAGAUGCUGGCACCUUGCUAUUGGACUUCCGGCCUCCAGAACUGAGAAAUACAUGUCUUUUCCUUAUAAAUUACCCAGUCUGUGGUAUUCUGUUAUAGCGGCAGAAAAUGGACUAAGACGGCAUUUUGCAUACAUUAUCUGUCUUAUUAAAAAUAAUGUUUUUGCCCAGGAA
Homo sapiens (human) is the source of this 2115-nucleotide long non-coding RNA. Ensembl annotates it as long intergenic non-protein coding RNA 1234. Lineage: Eukaryota; Metazoa; Chordata; Mammalia; Primates; Hominidae. The record is from Ensembl.